GACGAACGCUGGCGGCGUGCUUAACACAUGCAAGUCGAACGGAGUGGCGAACGAGUGAGUAACACGUGGCUGAUCUGCCUUGCGCUUCGGGAUAAGCUUAGGAAACUGGGUCUAAUACCGGAUAGUGCAAGAUGAGCUCGCGGCCUAUCAGCUUCUUGGUGGGGUAAUGGCCUACCAAGGCGUCGACGGGUAGCCGGCCUGAGAGGUUGUACGGCCACAGUGCGACUGAGAUACUGCGCAGACUCCUACGGGAGGCAGCAGUGAGGAAUAUUGCACAAUGGUCGGAAGUGUGAUGCAGCGACGCCGAGAGGGGGAUGAAGGCCAUCGGGUUGUAAACUCCUUUCGACAGGGACGCGGUACCUGUAUAAGAAGCACCGGCUAACUACGUGCCAGCAGCCGCGGUAAUUC
RNAcentral lists this ribosomal RNA (408 nucleotides) under uncultured bacterium. RNAcentral's name for it is "partial 16S ribosomal RNA". It matches the Rfam family "Bacterial small subunit ribosomal RNA", at positions 28 to 526 of the family's 1533-position model. The record is from RNAcentral.